RNAcentral lists this transfer RNA (71 nucleotides) under chicken gut metagenome. It matches the Rfam family "tRNA". Rfam says of the family: Transfer RNA (tRNA) molecules are approximately 80 nucleotides in length. Their secondary structure includes four short double-helical elements and three loops (D, anti-codon, and T loops). The record is from RNAcentral.
CAGGGGUAGCUCAGCAGGCAGAGCGGCGGACUGAAAAUCCGGCGGGUGCGGGUUCAACUCCCGCCCCCUGC